AUGGUGAUGGUGAUGAUGAUGAUGAUAAUGGUGAUAAUGAUGGUAUGAUGGUAGUGAUAAUGGUGAUGAUGUUGGUGAUGGGGAUGAUAGUAGUGGUGAUGAUGAUGGUGAUGGUGGGUGUUGGUGGUGAUAGUGGUGAUUAUGAUGAUGGUGGUGAUGAUGGUGAUGGUGAUAAUGGUGAUGAUGAUGGUGAUUAUGAUAAUGGUGGUGAUGGUGAUGAUGGUAUUAUGAUAGUGAUGAUGGUGAUGGUGGUGAUGGUGAUGAUGGUGGUGAUGAUGGUGAUGAUAAUGGUGACAGUGAUGGUAUGAUGAUAGUGAUAAUGGUGAUGAUGUUGGUGAUGGGGAUGGUGGUGGCGAUGAUGGCGAUGAUG
Molecule: long non-coding RNA, 370 nt
Filed under: Homo sapiens (human)
Lineage: Eukaryota; Metazoa; Chordata; Mammalia; Primates; Hominidae
Description: non-protein coding lnc-TSPY10-18:1
Source: RNAcentral